Molecule: long non-coding RNA, 612 nt
Organism: Corticium candelabrum
Lineage: Eukaryota; Metazoa; Porifera; Homoscleromorpha; Homosclerophorida; Plakinidae
Exons: 3
Source: RefSeq, a predicted model, not a curated record
CAAAUGGCUAGUAGUUCGAAAUGUGAGGUGUUAUGCUGACAGAUCGUGGGGAUUGCGCUUUCUCUGCGAUCAGUUACCACACUGAGUACGCAACAGUGGCUAGUGAAAGGAGAGCCCCGAUAUGGGGAAUGUUGGUUGCUACAAACCGUUUUCUUUGUAGAAAUCGACUUUCUCGAGAAACAAUUGACUCCAGAAAAGCUUCUCGUGAUGCGACUAUCAUACAAGACGGCAGAGAUUCUAGAUGAGUAACCUGGAUAACUUCCAUUGUUGCAUCUGCCAGAAGACAAAUUACAUGUGUGGUUUAGGCAUAAGUCACCUAUGUUUCGAUUAAUUAACAUUUUCUGGAUCUCGAUAAGUUCAUCUUUCAAGAUUCUCCACAGAGUUACACAGAAAGUGCCUUUUCUUCAGGGAGCUGCCAUGACCAGUUUUCUGAAGAAAUGAGUGCAACUAAGUUUGUAUAGCUGCAUUGCAUUUUGACUCGUAGUGCUCUUAGCUAUUGUACUUUGUACAUUUGAUAGAUUAUUUGCAGGAUCUUUUGGGAGACCAGCCAUGCUGAAAGAGAUUUCUGAAUAAAUUUGCAUACAUGAUGUAUAUCUAUUUAUAUCUAUUUAU